UCGGGGUUAGCUCAGUCGGAAGAGCGCUCCACUGCAAAUGGAGAGGUCUCUGGUUCCAUACGAAGACCUUGCG
Molecule: transfer RNA, 73 nt
Filed under: Ixodes scapularis (black-legged tick)
Lineage: Eukaryota; Metazoa; Arthropoda; Arachnida; Ixodida; Ixodidae
Rfam family: tRNA
About the family: Transfer RNA (tRNA) molecules are approximately 80 nucleotides in length.
Source: Rfam by way of RNAcentral